This 253-nucleotide ribosomal RNA is filed under the name uncultured bacterium. RNAcentral's name for it is "partial 16S ribosomal RNA". It matches the Rfam family "Bacterial small subunit ribosomal RNA", at positions 524 to 776 of the family's 1533-position model. The record is from RNAcentral.
UACGUAGGGUGCAAGCGUUAUCCGGAAUUAUUGGGCGUAAAGAGCUCGUAGGUGGUUUGUCGCGUCUGCUGUGAAAACCCGAGGCUCAACCUCGGGCCUGCAGUGGGUACGGGCAAACUAGAGUGCGGUAGGGGAGAUUGGAAUUCCUGGUGUAGCGGUGGAAUGCGCAGAUAUCAGGAGGAACACCGAUGGCGAAGGCAGAUCUCUGGGCCGUAACUGACGCUGAGAUGCGAAAGCGUGGGGAGCAAACAGG